RNAcentral lists this ribosomal RNA (156 nucleotides) under Brachionus calyciflorus. RNAcentral describes it as "5.8S ribosomal RNA". It matches the Rfam family "5.8S ribosomal RNA". From Rfam's summary of the family: 5.8S ribosomal RNA (5.8S rRNA) is a component of the large subunit of the eukaryotic ribosome. It is transcribed by RNA polymerase I as part of the 45S precursor that also contains 18S and 28S rRNA. The record is from RNAcentral. Lineage: Eukaryota; Metazoa; Rotifera; Eurotatoria; Ploima; Brachionidae.
ACAACCCUAUGCGGUGGAUCACUUGGCUCGCGAGUCGAUGAAGAGCGCAGCAAACUGCGUGAAUUAAUGUGAUUUGCAGGACACAUUGAUCAUCGAUAUCUUGAACGCAUAUUGCGGUUAUGGAUCGCUUCCAUGACCACGCCUGUCUGAGGGUCG